RNAcentral lists this ribosomal RNA (463 nucleotides) under uncultured bacterium. RNAcentral describes it as "partial 16S ribosomal RNA". It matches the Rfam family "Bacterial small subunit ribosomal RNA", at positions 28 to 505 of the family's 1533-position model. The record is from RNAcentral.
GAUGAACGCUGGCGGCGUGCUUAACACAUGCAAGUCGAACGGAAAGGCUCCUGCUUGCAGGGGUACUCGAGUGGCGAACGGGUGAGUAACACGUGGGUGAUCUGCCCUGCACUUCGGGAUAAGCCUGGGAAACUGGGUCUAAUACCGGAUAGGACGAUGGUUUGGAUGCCAUUGUGGAAAGUUUUUCGGUGUGGGAUGAGCUCGCGGCCUAUCAGCUUGUUGGUGGGGUAAUGGCCUACCAAGGCGUCGACGGGUAGCCGGCCUGAGAGGGUGUACGGCCACAUUGGGACUGGGUAACGACCAAGCCCCCUACGGGGGGCAGCGGGGGGGAAAAUUGCAAAAGGGGGGCAAGCCUGAGGCAGCGACGCCGCGGGGGGGAUGCCGGCCUUCGGGUUGUAAACUCCUUCCGCUGGGGACGAAGCGCAAGGGACGGUACCGGGGGAAGAAGACCCGGCUAACUACG